RNAcentral lists this transfer RNA (77 nucleotides) under Deltaproteobacteria bacterium. Its description in RNAcentral is "tRNA-Arg". It matches the Rfam family "tRNA". Rfam says of the family: Transfer RNA (tRNA) molecules are approximately 80 nucleotides in length. Their secondary structure includes four short double-helical elements and three loops (D, anti-codon, and T loops). RNAcentral also lists the same sequence under 2 other names. Lineage: Bacteria; Pseudomonadati; Myxococcota; Myxococcia. The record is from RNAcentral.
GCGCCUGUAGCUCAGUUGGAUAGAGCAACGGACUUCUAAUCCGUAGGUCGGGGGUCCGAAUCCCUCCAGGCGCGCCA